RNA transcript from Panicum virgatum (switchgrass), 1479 nucleotides. RefSeq lists it as uncharacterized. The record is from RefSeq and is a predicted model, not a curated record. The transcript is spliced from 4 exons. Lineage: Eukaryota; Viridiplantae; Streptophyta; Magnoliopsida; Poales; Poaceae.
CGAUCAAUGGCCUCGCUCCACGUCAUCCAACCGCCGCCACGUCAGCGCAGGAUCGAGGGGAGGCUUUCUCGCCGACUCGCCCUCGCCGCGGGAGAUCUCUCGCUUUCCCUCCAAACAGUAUCGCUUCGCGACAAGGCGUCCUCGGGGCCGCUGAGUGAGGCGCCAUGGCGAGUGGCGGCGGCGGGCGGCGGCGGAAGCCGAGGCCGAGGGCGCGGGGCAAGGGGAAGAAGACCAAGUACCUCAGCCUCAGCGACCUCCUGAUCAAGGCCGAGGUGGGGACGCCGCCGCGGUCGCCGGGGGAUGAGCCCGCGCCGGCGUGGGAGGAGGCGGAGGUGAAGCGGGAGGACGGCGGGGAUGGGGCCGGGCAGCAGCAGCAGGUGGAGCCGUUCCCGCUGCACCACGAGGCGUCCACCCUGUUCGCGGCGCUGCCGGCGCCGUCGCUCUCCGACAUCCUCGGCGCCUCCGCCGGCGGCACCGACGAGUCGCCGUCGCCGUCCGCCUCGCCGGACGGGGGCUCGGGGUUCACGGGCGCGGAGGAAGAGGACCUGGCGCGGCGCGCGCUGCGGGGCAGGGAGCGGUGGGUGUACUGCAGCAGCGGCUCCUCGCCGACCGCGACCACGGCCACCACCGCCACCACGUCGUCGUCGUCGCCGUGCUCGUCCGCGGCCAGCACUGGCGCCUCGGCGCGGUCGCUGCUGCUCAAGCUGGACCACGAGGAGAUCCUCGCCGCAUGGGCGGACCGGGGGUCGCUCUACAUCGGCGGCGGCGCUGACAGCGACGCCGCGCCGGAGCUGGGGCUCGACGCCGUGUUGGUGGAGGUGGAGCCGUCCGAGCACGCCGCGGGUGCGCCGCCGUCGGCGGCGUGCGCGUGGAGCGCGCGGGAGAUGGCACCGGCGGGGCCGGAGAGGGCGGAGAAGGUGAGGCGAUACAAGGAGAAGCGGCGGAACCGGUUGUUCGCGAGGCGGAUCCGGUACGAGGUUCGCCGGGUCAAUGCCGUCAAGCGGCCGCGGUUCAAGGGCCGUUUCAUCAAGGAACACGAGGAAAGCGAGCUCCAGCCUACAUAGCUCCCUUUGGCUUCUUUCAUCACUGCAAGGAUAGCCCGUGUAUAUAUACGAACAGUAAACUGCUGCUGUUGCAAUAUGCAAGUGCAUGUGAAUUGAGAAGUCGACCUGAUGGAGAGGGAUGUGUCGGUCCACUCCGUCGUGCCGUUCUGCUGCGCCUGCUGGAGUCGGGGUACUACAGUCAUGUGAUGUGAGGCCGAUCCGGGGAACCGAGGCCCACCUGUCAGCCAGCUUUGUCGUGGACUCGGGCUGGGCCACCUGUGUAUGUCUUGUUCCUUUUGGCUGCCAAGUCGGCGGCUGUCGCCGGUGACGGCUCGGAGAUCGAUCGACGGGCUCCGUCUUGGACCACCGCAUGGAACGGAUGGAGUAGAAUUCAAGUUAUUUUGACAUGUGAUUUUUUUUAUCUACAGGAACUGAA